Molecule: ribosomal RNA, 413 nt
Filed under: uncultured bacterium
Lineage: Bacteria
Description: bacterial SSU rRNA
Rfam family: Bacterial small subunit ribosomal RNA
Source: RNAcentral
GUGCCAGCAGCCGCGGUAAUACGGAGGGUGCGAGCGUUAAUCGGAAUUACUGGGCGUAAAGGGCGCGUAGGCGGUCGCGCAAGUCGGGUGUGAAAGCCCCGGGCUCAACCUGGGAAUUGCAUUCGAUACUGCGUAACUAGAGUCUGGUAGAGGGAAGCGGAAUUCCGCAUGUAGCGGUGAAAUGCGUAGAUAUGCGGAGGAACACCAGUGGCGAAGGCGGCUUCCUGGACCAAGACUGACGCUGAGGCGCGAAAGCGUGGGGAGCAAACAGGAUUAGAUACCCUGGUAGUCCACGCCCUAAACGAUGAGGACUAGACGUUGGGGGGAUAAAACCCUUUAGUGUCGCAGCUAACGCGUGAAGUCCUCCGCCUGGGGAGUACGGCCGCAAGGUUGAAACUUAAAUGAAUUGACGG